AGUGAACGCUGGCGGUAGGCCUAACACAUGCAAGUCGAACGGCAGCACAGGAGAGCUUGCUCUCUGGGUGGCGAGUGGCGGACGGGUGAGGAAUACAUCGGAAUCUACUUUUUCGUGGGGGAUAACGUAGGGAAACUUACGCUAAUACCGCAUACGACCUACGGGUGAAAGCAGGGGACCUUCGGGCCAUGCGCGAUUGAAUGAGCCGAUGUCGGAUUAGCUAGUUGGCGGGGUAAAGGCCCACCAAGGCGACGAUCCGUAGCUGGUCUGGGAGGAUGAUCAGCAACACUGGAACUGAGAGACGGUCCAGACUCCGACGGGAGGCAGAAGUGGGGAAAAUUGGACAAUGGGCGCAAGCCUGAUCCAGCCAUAGCGCGUGGGUGAAGAAGGCCUUCGGGUUGUAAAGCCCUUUUGUUGGGAAAGAAAUCCAGCUGGCUAAUACCCGGUUGGGAUGACGGUACCCAAAGAAUAAGCACCGGCUAACUUCGUGCCAGCAGCCGCGGUAA
Molecule: ribosomal RNA, 506 nt
Filed under: uncultured bacterium
Lineage: Bacteria
Description: partial 16S ribosomal RNA
Rfam family: Bacterial small subunit ribosomal RNA
Source: RNAcentral